UUAAGUUAUUAAGGGCGCACGGUGGAUGCCUUGGCACUAGAAGCCGAUGAAGGACGUUACUAACGACGAUAUGCUUUGGGGAGCUGUAAGUAAGCUUUGAUCCAGAGAUUUCCGAAUGGGGAAACCCAGCAUGAGUUAUGUCAUGUUAUCGAUAUGUGAAUACAUAGCAUAUCAGAAGGCACACCCGGAGAACUGAAACAUCUUAGUACCCGGAGGAAGAGAAAGAAAAUUCGAUUCCCUUAGUAGCGGCGAGCGAAACGGGAAGAGCCCAAACCAACAAGCUUGCUUGUUGGGGUUGUAGGACACUCUAUACGGAGUUACAAAGGACGACAUUAGACGAAUCAUCUGGAAAGAUGAAUCAAAGAAGGUAAUAAUCCUGUAGUCGAAAAUGUUGUCUCUCUUGAGUGGAUCCUGAGUACGACGGAGCACGUGAAAUUCCGUCGGAAUCUGGGAGGACCAUCUCCUAAGGCUAAAUACUCUCUAGUGACCGAUAGUGAACCAGUACCGUGAGGGAAAGGUGAAAAGCACCCCGGAAGGGGAGUGAAAUAGAACCUGAAACCGUGUGCUUACAAGUAGUCAGAGCCCGUUAAUGGGUGAUGGCGUGCCUUUUGUAGAAUGAACCGGCGAGUUACGAUUUGAUGCAAGGUUAAGCAGUAAAUGUGGAGCCGUAGCGAAAGCGAGUCUGAAUAGGGCGUUUAGUAUUUGGUCGUAGACCCGAAACCAGGUGAUCUACCCUUGGUCAGGUUGAAAGUUCAGGUAACACUGAAUGGAGGACCGAACCGACUUACGUUGAAAAGUGAGCGGAUGAACUGAGGGUAGCGGAGAAAUUCCAAUCGAACCUGGAGAUAGCUGGUUCUCUCCGAAAUAGCUUUAGGGCUAGCCUCAAGUGAUGAUUAUUGGAGGUAGAGCACUGUUUGGACGAGGGGCCCCUCUCGGGUUACCGAAUUCAGACAAACUCCGAAUGCCAAUUAAUUUAACUUGGGAGUCAGAACAUGGGUGAUAAGGUCCGUGUUCGAAAGGGAAACAGCCCAGACCACCAGCUAAGGUCCCAAAAUAUAUGUUAAGUGGAAAAGGAUGUGGCGUUGCCCAGACAACUAGGAUGUUGGCUUAGAAGCAGCCAUCAUUUAAAGAGUGCGUAAUAGCUCACUAGUCGAGUGACACUGCGCCGAAAAUGUACCGGGGCUAAACAUAUUACCGAAAGCUGUGGAUUGUCCUUUGGACAAUGGUAGGAGAGCGUUCUAAGGGCGUUGAAGCAAUGAUCGUAAGGACAUGUGGAGCGCUUAGAAGUGAGAAUGCCGGUGUGAGUAGCGAAAGACGGGUGAGAAUCCCGUCCACCGAUUGACUAAGGUUUCCAGAGGAAGGCUCGUCCGCUCUGGGUUAGUCGGGUCCUAAGCUGAGGCCGACAGGCGUAGGCGAUGGAUAACAGGUUGAUAUUCCUGUACCACCUAUAAUCGUUUUAAUCGAUGGGGGGACGCAGUAGGAUAGGCGAAGCGUGCGAUUGGAUUGCACGUCUAAGCAGUAAGGCUGAGUAUUAGGCAAAUCCGGUACUCGUUAAGGCUGAGCUGUGAUGGGGAGAAGACAUUGUGUCUUCGAGUCGUUGAUUUCACACUGCCGAGAAAAGCCUCUAGAUAGAAAAUAGGUGCCCGUACCGCAAACCGACACAGGUAGUCAAGAUGAGAAUUCUAAGGUGAGCGAGCGAACUCUCGUUAAGGAACUCGGCAAAAUGACCCCGUAACUUCGGGAGAAGGGGUGCUCUUUAGGGUUAACGCCCAGAAGAGCCGCAGUGAAUAGGCCCAAGCGACUGUUUAUCAAAAACACAGGUCUCUGCUAAACCGUAAGGUGAUGUAUAGGGGCUGACGCCUGCCCGGUGCUGGAAGGUUAAGAGGAGUGGUUAGCUUCUGCGAAGCUACGAAUCGAAGCCCCAGUAAACGGCGGCCGUAACUAUAACGGUCCUAAGGUAGCGAAAUUCCUUGUCGGGUAAGUUCCGACCCGCACGAAAGGCGUAACGAUUUGGGCACUGUCUCAACGAGAGACUCGGUGAAAUCAUAGUACCUGUGAAGAUGCAGGUUACCCGCGACAGGACGGAAAGACCCCGUGGAGCUUUACUGUAGCCUGAUAUUGAAAUUCGGCACAGCUUGUACAGGAUAGGUAGGAGCCUUUGAAACGUGAGCGCUAGCUUACGUGGAGGCGCUGGUGGGAUACUACCCUAGCUGUGUUGGCUUUCUAACCCGCACCACUUAUCGUGGUGGGAGACAGUGUCAGGCGGGCAGUUUGACUGGGGCGGUCGCCUCCUAAAAGGUAACGGAGGCGCUCAAAGGUUCCCUCAGAAUGGUUGGAAAUCAUUCAUAGAGUGUAAAGGCAUAAGGGAGCUUGACUGCGAGACCUACAAGUCGAGCAGGGUCGAAAGACGGACUUAGUGAUCCGGUGGUUCCGCAUGGAAGGGCCAUCGCUCAACGGAUAAAAGCUACCCCGGGGAUAACAGGCUUAUCUCCCCCAAGAGUUCACAUCGACGGGGAGGUUUGGCACCUCGAUGUCGGCUCAUCGCAUCCUGGGGCUGUAGUCGGUCCCAAGGGUUGGGCUGUUCGCCCAUUAAAGCGGUACGCGAGCUGGGUUCAGAACGUCGUGAGACAGUUCGGUCCCUAUCCGUCGUGGGCGUAGGAAAUUUGAGAGGAGCUGUCCUUAGUACGAGAGGACCGGGAUGGACAUACCUCUGGUGUACCAGUUGUCGUGCCAACGGCAUAGCUGGGUAGCUAUGUGUGGACGGGAUAAGUGCUGAAAGCAUCUAAGCAUGAAGCCCCCCUCAAGAUGAGAUUUCCCAACUUCGGUUAUAAGAUCCCUCAAAGAUGAUGAGGUUAAUAGGUUCGAGGUGGAAGCAUGGUGACAUGUGGAGCUGACGAAUACUAAUCGAUCGAAGACUUAAUCAA
RNAcentral lists this ribosomal RNA (2924 nucleotides) under Staphylococcus aureus. Its description in RNAcentral is "23S ribosomal RNA". It matches the Rfam family "Bacterial large subunit ribosomal RNA". The record is from RNAcentral. Lineage: Bacteria; Bacillati; Bacillota; Bacilli; Caryophanales; Staphylococcaceae.